UCAGGAUGAACGCUAGCUACAGGCUUAACACAUGCAAGUCGAGGGGCAUCAGGAAGAAAGCUUGCUUUCUUUGCUGGCGACCGGCGCACGGGUGAGUAACACGUAUCCAACCUGCCCUUUACUCGGGGAUAGCCUUUCGAAAGAAAGAUUAAUACCCGAUAGCAUAAUGAUUCCGCAUGGUUUCAUUAUUAAAGGAUUCCGGUAAAGGAUGGGGAUGCGUUCCAUUAGGUUGUUGGUGAGGUAACGGCCCACCAAGCCUUCGAUGGAUAGGGGUUCUGAGAGGAAGGUCCCCCACAUUGGAACUGAGACACGGUCCAAACUCCUACGGGAGGCAGCAGUGAGGAAUAUUGGUCAAUGGGCGCUAGCCUGAACCAGCCAAGUAGCGUGAAGGAUGAAGGCUCUAUGGGUCGUAAACUUCUUUUAUAUAAGAAUAAAGUGCAGUAUGUAUACUGUUUUGUAUGUAUUAUAUGAAUAAGGAUCGGCUAACUCCGUGCCAGCAGCCGCGGUAAUACGGAGGAUCCGAGCGUUAUCCGGAUUUAUUGGGUUUAAAGGGAGCGUAGGUGGACUGGUAAGUCAGUUGUGAAAGUUUGCGGCUCAACCGUAAAAUUGCAGUUGAUACUGUCAGUCUUGAGUACAGUAGAGGUGGGCGGAAUUCGUGGUGUAGCGGUGAAAUGCUUAGAUAUCACGAAGAACUCCGAUUGCGAAGGCAGCUCACUGGACUGCAACUGACACUGAUGCUCGAAAGUGUGGGUAUCAAACAGGAUUAGAUACCCUGGUAGUCCACACAGUAAACGAUGAAUACUCGCUGUUUGCGAUAUACAGUAAGCGGCCAAGCGAAAGCAUUAAGUAUUCCACCUGGGGAGUACGCCGGCAACGGUGAAACUCAAAGGAAUUGACGGGGGCCCGCACAAGCGGAGGAACAUGUGGUUUAAUUCGAUGAUACGCGAGGAACCUUACCCGGGCUUAAAUUGCAGUGGAAUGAUGUGGAAACAUGUCAGUGAGCAAUCACCGCUGUGAAGGUGCUGCAUGGUUGUCGUCAGCUCGUGCCGUGAGGUGUCGGCUUAAGUGCCAUAACGAGCGCAACCCUUAUCUUUAGUUACUAACAGGUUAUGCUGAGGACUCUAGAGAGACUGCCGUCGUAAGAUGUGAGGAAGGUGGGGAUGACGUCAAAUCAGCACGGCCCUUACGUCCGGGGCUACACACGUGUUACAAUGGGGGGUACAGAAGGCAGCUAGCGGGUGACCGUAUGCUAAUCCCAAAAUCCUCUCUCAGUUCGGAUCGAAGUCUGCAACCCGACUUCGUGAAGCUGGAUUCGCUAGUAAUCGCGCAUCAGCCACGGCGCGGUGAAUACGUUCCCGGGCCUUGUACACACCGCCCGUCAAGCCAUGGGAGCCGGGGGUACCAGAAGUACGUAACCGCAAGGAUCGUCCUAGGGUA
RNAcentral lists this ribosomal RNA (1437 nucleotides) under uncultured organism. Its description in RNAcentral is "16S ribosomal RNA". It matches the Rfam family "Bacterial small subunit ribosomal RNA". The record is from RNAcentral.